GAGGAAUAGUUUAACGAACACAACAGAGUUCAGAAUGUUGACUCGGUCUCUAAACCUCCAUCCAAGCUCGCAUCUGCGAGACGUGCUGGAAGAACAUCUCACUAUGUCCUUCAGAGGUCUUGUGUAUGGAGGACUAAAAGUGCCAAAAUUAAAUAAAUAAAUACAUCAUUAAAUAAUUAAUUAAAUAUGUCAUUAAUUAAUUAAAAUUGGAAUUAAAUAUUUCAUUAAUUAAUUAAAAUUGGAAUUAAAUAUUUCAUUAAUUAAUUAAAAUUGGAAUGAAAUACUUAAAUGUGUUAUUAAAUAAAUAUAUCAUUAAAUAAUUAAAUAUGUCAUUAAUUAAUUAAAAUUGGCAUUAAAUAUGUCAUUAAUUAAUUAAAAUUGGCAUUAAAUAUGUCAUUAAUUAAUUAAAAUUGGAAUUAAAUACAUAAAUGUGUUAUUAAAUAUGUCAUUAAUUUAUUAAAAUAACAAUUAUUUUAAGUAAAAAACAUAUUUCAUUAUUUCACUAUUUAAUUAAUUAUUUCAUGGUCCUUGCGUUGCAGUGGAUCAUGAAUUUAUUUUAUCUGUCAACCUCGCCCGUCAAAGUCGGUGGGCGGAUCCUAACACCUGAUUGGUUACCCUGCACAUCAAGUCAAGGCAAAUCGAUUCCAGAUAAUGGAUUGACGCAGAGCUUGUGAACACAUUCCGAUACACUGGGUGGCGCUAUUCACCUCUACGUUGGUUUGGAUACUCAAUAAAACAAAACUUUAUUAGCAACCGCUAAAGACUCGGUCCUCUUUCCCAAAUGUUGAUACAUGCGGUGCAAGACAAAUUUUCCUUUAGCAUUUCCUUUAGCAUCUACUCGGCGCGCCACGGCUCGUCUCGGUUUAGUUGUUUUUCCAUUACAUUGAGUACCACCUCAUCGUGGGUGGAGUCGUCAUAGCACGGUGGCCCGAAAGUCCCUUACCGUCAUUUUUGUGCGACACAAACGCAAUGCAACAAUGUACAUGGAGGCGAUAGUACACCUGCUGCUCGGUCUGUGGCUUUCUGUCAGAUUCAGAGUAACAGAAGAGUCGGAGAAAGCUGAGAGCGGCGAGUCGAAACACUCAGGAGACACACAGGAGAGUUUGGGAGGCGAUACAGCAGUAUCAAGCUGAAGACAAGAGGAUAUGAACGAGACGACAUAUAAGGAUGCUCUCUGAUGAGACUUCAUGGGAUUUACCUGAAGCAGCAGCACAUGAGCCUGCAGUGGCACAAGGUGUAGAGGAGGAGGACAGAGAUGUACAGGAUGCACUAAUGCAGUACGUGUCAUGCAAAAGUUAAAAGUUGUUCUUCUUGUUAUACUUCUGUUUUUCUGUCCCCGGACCGCUAUUGUUUUCUUUAAUGCAAUUCUGACAAUAAACUUUUGUAGAUGUG
Long non-coding RNA from Amphiprion ocellaris (clown anemonefish), 1392 nucleotides. RefSeq lists it as uncharacterized. The transcript is spliced from 2 exons. Lineage: Eukaryota; Metazoa; Chordata; Actinopteri; Pomacentridae. The record is from RefSeq and is a predicted model, not a curated record.